GGGGCCUGAGCCUGGAGACAGAGCCCAGGGUGCCCCAGCUCAGCCCUGCUUUGGGCUGCCGACCCUGGAACAGGGCGCACCGACGGGCCAGCAGCGGGAAUCCUCGGCUGGGGUGAGGCGGCCUCUGGCAGGGCGGGCUGGUCCCUGGACCCAUCUCAUGGCUCGUUAGCCGGGUGGCCGGGCGCCCAGAGGUGGGUAGAGAGCACCAGGUGGCUUCUCUCUGGAACGUCAUGAAACCCCUGCAAACCCUGGGCUUCCCUUUCAGGGAUCAUGGCCAAAUUCUUGCCCUCGAAAUGAUUUUCCAGGCCUUUCCACCAGGAAAGAUGUUUUUCUGAGGGGGGAGGGGGGCCAUGGGAGGGUCUGGAGGAAGAGCCAGGGAGCGUAAGCUCGGAGGUCGGAGAAGAGGGAUUAGUACUGCCAGGCUAGGUCCAAGCACAGAGGCCCUCCCUCACUCAUGCCCAGCGGGAAAUCACAACCGCGGUCAGACAUUUCCCCAUGUUGGCCCAACACCACCUUCUUUUCCUCCCUGACACAUCCCUGGGCAGGACCUGGGGACAGCUAGAAACCUGCAAGCACCAGUGGACCCAGGGCCCUCUCCAGCCAGGAGAUACCCCUGAGCUGACCUGGUUCAGCCACAGCAGCCCGGGUGGGGGCACCGUCCGGGCACCUCGUGUUCCCGUCCUCCUCAGCACCGCCCAGGCCCAGCGGUUGGGCUGUGGAAAGUCAGGGACUCUGAGUCACCCUCCUCCUUUCAGCGUAUUUCUGGGAAUGUGAAGCACACUGGAGCGACGUGACAUUCCUUAGCUCCCAGCAGCAAGUCAACCACCCACUUCCUUUCCAGUCAUGCUGCAUGACAGCGGAACAGGACCAAACAAAUUGACAUGAAAGCCACAUGCCUUUAGGACAGGACGGGAGCGCAGGGCCAGGGCCUCCCUUCCCUCCAGAGCAGAGCGCAUACCAGCAGGCAAGCACCGCAGCUGUCCCUACCCCUCCAGGGCCAGGAAACCCUCUCCUCGGGCAUGUGACGCCCGUCCUGCUGUUCCAGAACACACUCGCACAUCUACAGACACACCCAUUCUGGGUGACAGGCAUUGCCAUGUGUGAAAUUCUUUGUCCUUAUCAUCUCUGGAGUAAGUCACAGGAAGGGUAACGCCCAUGUCUCUCAAGCAUUUGGUCUGGGGGUAAAGUUCUGCACAUCUGAAUCCUAGAAAAAUGUCAUCUAUGGACAGGACCCUGAGCACACGUCAAGAGCUUGGGAAGAGAGCUGGGGCAGGGGGACGAUGAGAGGGUGAACGUGGGGACAUCUGCCCUCAAGG
RNAcentral lists this long non-coding RNA (1316 nucleotides) under Marmota monax (woodchuck). The record is from RNAcentral. Lineage: Eukaryota; Metazoa; Chordata; Mammalia; Rodentia; Sciuridae.